CCCUUAGACGUUCUGGGCCGCACGCGCGCUACACUGACGAAGGCAACGAGCUUUCCUUUACCGAAAGGUACGGGUAAUCUUUUGAAACUUCGUCGUGCUGGGGAUAGAUCCUUGCAAUUUUUGAUCUUAAACGAGGAAUUCCUAGUAAGCGCAAGUCAUCAACUUGCGUUGAUUACGUCCCUGCCCUUUGUACACACCGCCCGUCGCUACUACCGAUUGAAUGGUUUAGUGAGGCCUUCGGAUCCGCGACUCGUUUUGUGGAGAAGUUGGACAAACUCAGUCAUUUAGAGGAAGUAAAAGUCGUAACA
Molecule: ribosomal RNA, 308 nt
Filed under: uncultured eukaryote
Lineage: Eukaryota
Description: partial 18S ribosomal RNA
Rfam family: Eukaryotic small subunit ribosomal RNA
Source: RNAcentral